This 440-nucleotide ribosomal RNA is filed under the name uncultured bacterium. RNAcentral's name for it is "bacterial SSU rRNA". It matches the Rfam family "Bacterial small subunit ribosomal RNA", at positions 338 to 773 of the family's 1533-position model. The record is from RNAcentral.
CCUACGGGUGGCUGCAGUCGAGAAUCUUCCGCAAUGGGCGCAAGCCUGACGGAGCGACGCCGCGUGCGGGAUGAAGGCCUUCGGGUUGUAAACCGCUGUCAGUGGGGAGCAAAUGCAUGGGGGUUCUCCCCCAUGCUUGAGCGAUCCGCAGAGGAAGCACAGGCUAAUUCCGUGCCAGCAGCCGCGGUAAUACGGAAUGUGCAAACGUUAUUCGGAAUCACUGGGCUUAAAGAGUCCGUAGGCGGCAUGUUAGGUGAGGUGUGAAAUCCCCCGGCUCAACCGAGGAAUUGCGCUUCAAACCGGCGUGCUAGAGGAAGAUAGAGGUGGGCGGAACUGAUGGUGGAGCGGUGAAAUGCGUUGAUAUCAUCAGGAACACCGGAGGCGAAAGCGGCCCACUGGGUCUUUUCUGACGCUGAGGGACGAAAGCUAGGGGAGCGAAC